This is a long non-coding RNA of Manihot esculenta (cassava), 799 nucleotides long. RefSeq lists it as uncharacterized. The record is from RefSeq and is a predicted model, not a curated record. Lineage: Eukaryota; Viridiplantae; Streptophyta; Magnoliopsida; Malpighiales; Euphorbiaceae. The transcript has 2 exons.
CAUCUGAAUAGUAUAGAUACUUUUUUAUAUUUUUCUUUAAAUUUUAUGUUAUUUUUUUAAUAAUAAAUUUUAUAUUUUUUUAAUAUACUCUUGUGUAAUACACAUUAAAAAAAUUAAUUUCAAGAAUGUAUUUUGUGAUAGAACAAUAUAAUUUUUAUUUAGUACGCAUUAAAAAUGUAAAAUUUAUUAUUACUUUUCAAGAAUAUAUUUCAAGGAACAAUGUAAAAUCUGACCCGGUCCACUAUAUAGAUGAGACCAUUUUCCUGCGUCUUGCCUACCAAGGGAAUGAAAAUAAUCCAAUAAGAUCCGCGAAGAACGCGUUAGAUUCGCCGAUUGCCAUUCACAAAGGUUGGAAAAGGAAGGCAGGCAAAGAUCUUCGAUCGUUAUAUUUCGGCUUUAAAGGUUUUAGGGUUCUCAAAUCGAAUCGAAAAUGGCAGGAGAAACAGCUAUCUUCAAGUUCCUGAAGCCUAGGCUUCGUCCUCAACCCACUGACGUCCAGGCCGCCGCCUUCUGGGGCGUCGCCGCCGCAUCCGCUGCUCUUUAUCUCAUCCAGCCAUUUGAUUGGAUUAAGAAGACCUUUUUCGAGAAUGGGGAGCCUGGGGGAAACUGAAUAGGGGAUCAGAUUUCUGAAUAACUUUUUCAUUUCUUUCUUCAGGCUGACAAUGAAAAAUGAUGAGUGAAGUUGGUAUGAAUAAUGUUGUUCCAUUUUCUAGUUAUUGCUGAGGCCUUUUUGGCUUUAGUUCCUGGGGUGACUGGACAAUUUUAAAUCUGAAUGGUUGCAUUAUUUUAAUUGCCUCAA